UCUGUCCUAAAACAAAACCAAAUCUGGAAGGAGUAGAAUUUUCUACCGGGACUUGGUAACACUUCAUGGACAAGGAGGAUGUGACUCAUGCUGCUCACGACUGCUGGAACCUAUAACCUCCUUUUCUCUUGGACUGGUACAAUUAUCUUCACUUUGGAAGAAGAAACAGAGACAUUUUUAACAUUAGAGAGACUUCAUAAGUACUGCCUGAAAAUUAUGGCUGUUCGCUCUCUAUGGACUAUUAACCUUGAUUGUAUGUCAACCAUAUAUUUUGUCUGAAUUUCUUACGCAAAUGAAUCUCACAUAUUGUUUUAUAUUGCUGUUAGUACUGCUGUGUGCCUCAGAGGCUUUAAUAAAACAUACC
This is a non-coding RNA of Meleagris gallopavo (turkey), 364 nucleotides long. NCBI's taxonomy places the organism in Eukaryota, Metazoa, Chordata, Aves, Galliformes, Phasianidae. The record is from RefSeq and is a predicted model, not a curated record.